This is a long non-coding RNA of Haliotis rufescens (red abalone), 3469 nucleotides long. RefSeq lists it as uncharacterized. The record is from RefSeq and is a predicted model, not a curated record. The transcript has 2 exons. Lineage: Eukaryota; Metazoa; Mollusca; Gastropoda; Lepetellida; Haliotidae.
UAAAGGCUGCUAGGGCUGAGAAUGGGGGGAGUAAAGGCUGCUAGGGCUGAGAAUGGGGGGAGUAAAGGCUGCUAGGACCUAGACUGGGAUGAGUAAAGGCGGCUAGGGCCGUGAAUGGGGGGAGUAGACUAGACUAGAAUAGACCUAGACUGGGAUGAGUAAGGACUGCUAGGACCGAGACUCGGAUGAGUAAAGACUGCUAGGACCCAGACUGGGAUGAGCAAGGGCUGCUAGGACCUCGACUGGGAUGAGUAAGGGCUGCUAGGGCUGAGACUGGGAUGAGUAAGGGCUGCUAGGACCCAGACUGGGAUGUGUAAGGGCUGCUAGGACCGAGACUGGGAUGAGGAAGGGCUGCUAGGACCUCGACUGGGAUGUGUAAGGGCUGCUAGGACCUCGACUGGGAUGUGUAAGGGCUGCUAGGACCGAGACAGGGAUGAGUAAGGGCUGCUAGGACCUCGACUGGGAUGUGUAAGGGCUGCUAGGACCUCGACUGGGAUGUGUAAGGGCUGCUAGGACCUCGACUGGGAUGAGUAAGAGCUGCUAGGACCGAGACUGAGAUGAGUAAGGCCUGCUAGGACCGAGACUGGAAUGAGUAAGGGCUGCUAGGACUGAGACUGAGAUGAGUUAGGGCUGCUAGGACCGAGAGUGGGAUGAGUAAGGGCUGCUAGGACGGAGACUGGGAUGAGUAAGAGCUGCUAGGACUGAGAGUGGGAUGAGUAAGGGCUGCUAGGACGGAGACUGAGAUGAGUAAGAGCUGCUAGGACCGAGACUGAGAUGAGUAAGGCCUGCUAGGACCGAGACUGGAAUGAGUAAGGCCUGCUAGGACCGAGACUGGAAUGAGUAAGGGCUGCUAGGACUGAGACUGAGAUGAGUUAGGGCUGCUAGGACCGAGAGUGGGAUGAGUAAGGGCUGCUAGGACGGAGACUGGGAUGAGUAAGAGCUGCUAGGACUGAGAGUGGGAUGAGUAAGGGCUGCUAGGACGGAGACUGAGAUGAGUAAGAGCUGCUAGGACCGAGAGUGGGAUGAGUAAGGGCUGCUAGGACGGAGACUGGGAUGAGUAAGAGCUGCUAGGACUGAGACUGAGAUGAGUAAGAGCUGCUAGGGCCGAGACUGGGAUGAGUAAGAGCUGCUAGGACGGAGACUGGGAUGAGUAAGGGCUGCUAGGACUGAGACUGAGAUGAGUAAGAGCUGCUAGGACUGAGACUGAGAUGAGUUAGGGCUGCUAGAACCGAGACUGGGAUGAGUAAGGGCUGCUAGGACCGAGAAUGAGAUGAGUAAGAGCUGCUAGGACUGAGACUAGGAUGAGUAAGGGCUGUUCUGACCUCGACUGAGAUGAGUAAGAGCUGCUAGGACCGAGACUGGGAUGAGUAAGGGCUGCUAGGACCGAGACUGAGAUGAGUAAGAGCUGCUAGGACCGAGACUGGGAUGAGUAAGAGCUGCUAGGACUGAGACUGGGAUGAGUAAGAGCUGCUAGGACCGAGACUGGGAUGAGUAAGGGUUGCUAGGACCGAGACUGGGAUGAGUAAGAGCUGCUAGGACCGAGAGUGGGAUGAGUAAGGGCUGCUAGGACUGAGACUGGGAUGAGUAAGGGUUGCUAGGACCGAGACUGGGAUGUGUAAGGGCUGCUAGGACUGAGACUGGGACGAGUAAGGGCUGCUAGGACUGAGACUGGGAUGAGUAAGGGCUGCUAGGACUGAGACUGGGAUGAGUAAGGGCUGCUAGGACUGAGACUGGGAUGAGUAAGAGCUGCUAGGACCGAGAGUGGGAUGAGUAAGGGCUGCUAGGACGGAGACUGGGAUGAGUAAGAGCUGCUAGGACUGAGACUGAGAUGAGUAAGAGCUGCUAGGGCCGAGACUGGGAUGAGUAAGAGCUGCUAGGACGGAGACUGGGAUGAGUAAGGGCUGCUAGGACUGAGACUGAGAUGAGUAAGAGCUGCUAGGACUGAGACUGAGAUGAGUUAGGGCUGCUAGAACCGAGACUGGGAUGAGUAAGGGCUGCUAGGACCGAGAAUGAGAUGAGUAAGAGCUGCUAGGACUGAGACUAGGAUGAGUAAGGGCUGUUCUGACCUCGACUGAGAUGAGUAAGAGCUGCUAGGACCGAGACUGGGAUGAGUAAGGGCUGCUAGGACCGAGACUGAGAUGAGUAAGAGCUGCUAGGACCGAGACUGGGAUGAGUAAGAGCUGCUAGGACUGAGACUGGGAUGAGUAAGAGCUGCUAGGACCGAGACUGAGAUGAGUAAGAGCUGCUAGGACCGAGACUGGGAUGAGUAAGUGCUGCUAGGACCUCGACUGGGAUGAGUAAGAGCUGCUAGGACGGAGACUGGGAUGAGUAAGGGCUGCUAGGACCGAGAGUUAGAUGAGUAAGAGCUGCUAGGUCUGAGACUGGGGUGAGUAAUGGCGACUAGGGCUGAGAAUUGGAUGACAAUUGUGGAAUUAGUUUUAGAGAAACUUUGUGUUCAUGAUUGAUCAGGGAAACCAUUUAUUCAGGGAUUAUUCCAGGAACGUGCUAAGAUUGUGAAGUCAUUGGCUACAUAGUUAAUAUAUGUAUACGCGAUCCCCGGUGUCUUGCAAAUUUAGCUGAUUUAGCACGUUAACAUGUUGCAGAACAAACAUGAUACACCAGCAAGGAUUUACCGGACGCGAAAUCCUGAAUCCUUUACGCAUACAAAUUAAACACGGACGCAAAACAAUACAGAGUACAUCCACAGGGACGCAUAAAAUAGGUAUGAAUGCUGUUAUUUCACAAUUUAGUACCACGUAAAAUAUAUCAUUUUGUAAAUAAAUUACACAGGCGACCGCUUCACGAUCUCCCAGCUCUAGUACUUUUAGAUUCGUUUCAGAACACCAUAUGUGUUAUAACUAACGGCUUCCGAGCAUGCGCAGUCUUACGUCACAUGUGGUCGAGUACUGUUUACCUUUUUUUCACCUUGGAACAAAAGUAGAAAGUUCAGUGACCUAUUUGAGAAUGUUCCUACACUAGUUUACCGGUACGGCAAAGGAGAUACAUCUUGACUAUUGCUGUCUGCGGCAUCAUUUGACAAUUGCCGUGUGAGAAAAAGUGCCCUCGAUAACCCAGUGCAUUAUUACUCUUGACUAUAAUGAUAAUAACCUUGUAUCACACCCUCGAUUAUCCAGUGUCCACUAUAUCCAUACAAUAGUGAAAUGUACCCGGGACCAACCAUUGCUCCGUUUGGGAGUGACGUCACGGUCACGGAAAGGGUCGAAUGAGGACGAAUCAAAUCAAAAUGACUCUUCGGAACGAAUUUCCGUCUCUGACUGAACGGGUUUCAAAUCUAUAAAGUGACCCUACAAUACUGGGCACCGACCAACCUCUGUGUUGAAUCAGGAACGAAUAACCGCCAUUAGUUAAUUACAUGUUGCCACUUCUGAAUCUCGAAGCGAUUAUUUUUUGUCAAAAUAUAUGUAUAAUCAAGACUGUACAUAAUGUGAAUGAAAUUUUAUGUGAACUA